UCCGUUGGUGAACCAGCGGAGGGAUCAUUACAGAGUUAUCCAACUCCCAAACCCAUGUGAACUUAUCUCUUUGUUGCCUCGGCGCAAGCUACCCGGGACCUCGCGCCCCGGGCGGCCCGCCGGCGGACAAACCAAAACUCUUGUUAUCUUAGUUGAUUAUCUGAGUGUCUUAUUUAAUAAGUCAAAACUUUCAACAACGGAUCUCUUGGUUCUGGCAUCGAUGAAGAACGCAGCGAAAUGCGAUAAGUAAUGUGAAUUGCAGAAUUCAGUGAAUCAUCGAAUCUUUGAACGCACAUUGCGCCCAUUAGUAUUCUAGUGGGCAUGCCUGUUCGAGCGUCAUUUCAACCCCUAAGCACAGCUUAUUGUUGGGAACCUACGGCUUCGUAGUUCCUCAAAGACAUUGGCGGAGUGGCAGUGGUCCUCUGAGCGUAGUAAUCUUUUAUCUCGCUUCUGUUAGGUGCUGCCCCCCCGGCCGUAAAACCCCCAAUUUUUUCUGGUUGAGCUCGGAUCAGGUAGGAAUACCCGCUGAACUUAAGCAUAUC
RNAcentral lists this ribosomal RNA (542 nucleotides) under Nigrospora sphaerica. Its description in RNAcentral is "eukaryotic LSU rRNA". The stretch from base 186 to 339 matches the Rfam family "5.8S ribosomal RNA". The record is from RNAcentral. Lineage: Eukaryota; Fungi; Ascomycota; Sordariomycetes; Amphisphaeriales; Apiosporaceae.